RNAcentral lists this unclassified non-coding RNA (246 nucleotides) under plant metagenome. RNAcentral describes it as "partial contains small subunit ribosomal RNA, internal transcribed spacer 1, and 5.8S ribosomal RNA". The stretch from base 1 to 53 matches the Rfam family "Eukaryotic small subunit ribosomal RNA", at positions 1778 to 1831 of the family's 1831-position model. The record is from RNAcentral.
GGAAGUAAAAGUCGAAUAAGGUCUCCGUUGGUGAACCAGCGGAGGGAUCAUUACAGGACUCGCAAGACUCCUACAACCCUGUGAACUUAACUAUAAGCACGUUGCUUCGGCGGGUGUCUCGGAGGGGGUUCUCCCUCCCCGAGACGCUAAACCCGCCGGCAGCCUACUAUACUCUGUCUCUUUGCGUUGGCAUCUCGAGUACAAUCAAACAAGUUAAAACUUUCAACAACGGAUCUCUUGGUUCUG